GCAUUCACUUUAAAUAGGGCUCCGUCUAAAUCCGUUGAGACGACACCGUAUGAAUUAUGGUUUGGGAAGAAACCUAAGCUAUCGUUUCUAAAAGUUUGGGGAUGCGAUGCUUAUGUCAAGAAACUUCAACCUGAAAAGCUCGAACCCAAGUCAGAAAAAUGCGUCUUCAUAGGAUACCCUAAGGAAACCAUUGGGUAUACCUUCUACCUCAGAUCCGAAGGCAAGAUCUUUGUUGCCAAGAAUGGGUCCUUUCUGGAGAAAGAGUUUCUCUCGAAAGAAGUAAGUGGGAGGAAAGUGGAACUUGAUGAAGUACUACCUCUUGAACCGGAAAGUAGCGCAGCUCAAGAAGAUGUUCCUGUGGUGCCUGCACUGACUAGAGAGGAAGCUAAU
RNAcentral lists this ribosomal RNA (390 nucleotides) under Triticum aestivum (bread wheat). RNAcentral describes it as "partial small subunit ribosomal RNA". Lineage: Eukaryota; Viridiplantae; Streptophyta; Magnoliopsida; Poales; Poaceae. The record is from RNAcentral.